RNAcentral lists this ribosomal RNA (595 nucleotides) under Magicicada cassinii (seventeen-year cicada). Its description in RNAcentral is "SSU rRNA". It matches the Rfam family "Eukaryotic small subunit ribosomal RNA", at positions 4 to 579 of the family's 1831-position model. Lineage: Eukaryota; Metazoa; Arthropoda; Insecta; Hemiptera; Cicadidae. The record is from RNAcentral.
CUGGUUGAUCCUGCCAGUAGUCAUAUGCUUGUCUCAAAGAUUAAGCCAUGCAAGUCUCAGUACAUGCCGCACUAAGGUGAAACCGCAAAAGGCUCAUUAAAUCAGUUAUGGUUCCUUGGAUCUUAAACAGUUACUUGGAUAACUGUGGUAAUUCUAGAGCUAAUACAUGCAAACAAGUCCCGACCAGAGAUGGAAGGGACGCUUUUAUUAGAUCAAAACCGAUCGGCGUCCGGCUCCGGCCGGCGCCGUCUCUUUUGGUGACUCUGGAUAACUUUUAGCUGAUCGCACGGUCACAGUACCGGCGACGCAUCUUUCAAAUGUCUGACUUAUCAACUGUCGAUGGUAGGCUCUGCGCCUACCAUGGUUGUUACGGGUAACGGGGAAUCAGGGUUCGAUUCCGGAGAGGGAGCCUGAGAAACGGCUACCACAUCCAAGGAAGGCAGCAGGCGCGCAAAUUACCCACUCCCGGCACGGGGAGGUAGUGACGAAAAAUAACGAUACGGGACUCAUCCGAGGCCCCGUAAUCGGAAUGAGUACACUUUAAAUACUUUAACGAGUACCAAUUGGAGGGCAAGUCUGGUGCCAGCAGCCGCGG